GCGCCUGUAGCUUAGUGGAUAGAGCGCUUGUUUCCUGAGCUGAAGGUCGUAGGUUCGACCCCUACUUGGCACA
Transfer RNA from Nicotiana attenuata, 73 nucleotides. It matches the Rfam family "tRNA". From Rfam's summary of the family: Transfer RNA (tRNA) molecules are approximately 80 nucleotides in length. Their secondary structure includes four short double-helical elements and three loops (D, anti-codon, and T loops). Further hydrogen bonds mediate the characteristic L-shaped molecular structure. tRNAs have two regions of fundamental functional importance: the anti-codon, which is responsible for specific mRNA codon recognition, and the 3' end, to which the tRNAs corresponding amino acid is attached (by aminoacyl-tRNA synthetases). tRNAs cope with the degeneracy of the genetic code in two manners: having more than one tRNA (with a specific anti-codon) for a particular amino acid; and 'wobble' base-pairing, i.e. permitting non-standard base-pairing at the 3rd anti-codon position. NCBI's taxonomy places the organism in Eukaryota, Viridiplantae, Streptophyta, Magnoliopsida, Solanales, Solanaceae. The record is from Rfam.